GACAGCAGUAGCCGCGGGAAAACGGAGGGAGCUAGCGUUGUUCGGAAUUACUGGGCGUAAAGCGCGCGUAGGCGGUUACUCAAGUCAGAGGUGAAAGCCCGGGGCUCAACCCCGGAGCUGCCAUUGAAACUAGGCGACUAGAAUCUUGGAGAGGUCAGUGGAAUUCCGAGUGUAGAGGUGAAAUUCGUAGAUAUUCGGAAGAACACCAGUGGCGAAGGGGACUGACUGGACAAGUAUUGACGCUGAGGUGCGAAAGCGUGGGGAGCAAACAGGAUUAGAUACCCCCGUAGUCCCUGUCUCUUAUAC
RNAcentral lists this ribosomal RNA (306 nucleotides) under uncultured bacterium. RNAcentral's name for it is "partial 16S ribosomal RNA". It matches the Rfam family "Bacterial small subunit ribosomal RNA", at positions 507 to 807 of the family's 1533-position model. The record is from RNAcentral.